This 402-nucleotide ribosomal RNA is filed under the name uncultured Sphingoaurantiacus sp. RNAcentral describes it as "bacterial SSU rRNA". It matches the Rfam family "Bacterial small subunit ribosomal RNA", at positions 355 to 774 of the family's 1533-position model. Lineage: Bacteria; Pseudomonadati; Pseudomonadota; Alphaproteobacteria; Sphingomonadales; Sphingosinicellaceae. The record is from RNAcentral.
UGGGGAAUAUUGGACAAUGGGCGAAAGCCUGAUCCAGCAAUGCCGCGUGAGUGAAGAAGGCCUUCGGGUUGUAAAGCUCUUUUACCCGGGAAGAUAAUGACUGUACCGGGAGAAUAAGCCCCGGCUAACUCCGUGCCAGCAGCCGCGGUAAUACGGAGGGGGCUAGCGUUGUUCGGAAUUACUGGGCGUAAAGCGCACGUAGGCGGCUUUACAAGUCAGGGGUGAAAGCCCGCGGCUCAACCGCGGAAUUGCCCUUGAGACUGUAUCGCUAGAACACGGGAGAGGUGAGUGGAAUUCCGAGUGUAGAGGUGAAAUUCGUAGAUAUUCGGAAGAACACCAGUGGCGAAGGCGGCUCACUGGACCGUAGUUGACGCUGAGGUGCGAAAGCGUGGGGAGCAAACA